Molecule: ribosomal RNA, 771 nt
Filed under: uncultured Neocallimastigales
Lineage: Eukaryota; Fungi; Neocallimastigomycota; Neocallimastigomycetes; Neocallimastigales
Description: partial large subunit ribosomal RNA
Rfam family: Eukaryotic large subunit ribosomal RNA
Source: RNAcentral
UCAGACGAUGCGUCAUGCAUAUCAAUAAGCGGAGGAAAAGAAACUAACAAGGAUUCCCUCAGUAACGGCGAGUGAAGCGGGAAGAGCUCAAAUUUGAAAUCUUGAAAGGUCACCUUUCACGAAUUGUAGUUUAAAGAAGUGUUUUCUGUUACGAUCGUAAUAUAAGUUCUUUGGAAUAGGACAUCACAGAGGGUGAGAAUCCCGUCUAUGAUUGCGAUUUGUAGCUUUGUGAUACACUUUCAAAGAGUCGGGUUGUUUGGGAAUGCAGCCCAAAACGGGAGGUAAAUUUCUUCUAAGGCUAAAUAUUGGCGAGAGACCGAUAGCGAACAAGUACCGUGAGGGAAAGAUGAAAAGAACUUUGAAAAGAGAGUUAAAUAGUACGUGAAAUUGUCAAAAGGGAAGCGUUUAACACCAGUGUUGUUUUCUGAAAAUCGACCUCUGUUAGCUUUAUGCAUGUUUGUUUAGACCUAAUCAGCUAUCUUGCAUGUUCUAUUGUUUGCAGUGGUGCACUUUUCAGUUUACAGGUCAACAUCAGUUUUUUUUACCGUAAAAAAGUUAAAGAAAGGUAGCUCAUGGCUCCGGUCGUGAGUGUUAUAGUCUUUUUCCUAUGCGGUAGGAGAGACUGAGGUCUGCAGUGUAGGCUAUUUGGCUAGAUACUCAGGUGCUAUGUGAUACCAUUUCAUAAACAACUUGUUGAUUAUGUUUUGUCUAUUGCAUACUCGCUUGUACUAUCAUACCUACGCUUAGGAUGUUGAUCUGUAGUGCGUGCGC